Molecule: long non-coding RNA, 9852 nt
Organism: Manis pentadactyla (Chinese pangolin)
Lineage: Eukaryota; Metazoa; Chordata; Mammalia; Pholidota; Manidae
Exons: 7
Source: RefSeq, a predicted model, not a curated record
UGGCCCUGUGACCUUGGCCUCCCCUGAGCUUAGUGCCUCUUUCAUGAAAUGAGGGCAUCAGUGGUGUCUACCACAGGGUUGUAAAGCUUCAGUGAAGCUCUGUUUGUGAAACACUUAGCAUAGUGCCUGGUGGCUAUUCUUCAGCCUGCACAGUCCAUUCUGGACCCAUCCCUAGGAAGGUAAAGAUUCCACUGGGUCUGAGAUGUGGAGAGCUGGUGAUGCAGGUCCAGGUGGUCUUUGCUGCCAUCCUGGUCUAGAAGGGCAGCACCUUGUAGAGUGAAGAAAGUCAGGCUCAGUCCGGGUUCCACUUGUUGGCCUAGGCCAGCAUUUCUCAAAGUGUGGUCUACACAGAGAACACUUAAGUGGUGCAGAGGCAAACACUGAACAAUGUGAGCUACAUAUUUUUAUGUGUAUUACAAAUAUACCAUUUUCCCAUUUAUGGUGGUUCUAUAAUGCUUCCUCUAAAAAGAAAUUUAUGGAGUUGAAAAAAAAACGAUUUAAAGGAAAACCUUAGGCAGUAGCAGAGUGGUAUGUGGACAUGGUAAACCAUGAGUGGUACUUGUUUGUGGAGAUUUGGGGACUGCUGGCCUAGAAUGAGGUUCUCAGUGGUGCCAGUUCUUCAGUCCCUUGUCUGUUAAAUGGAAGGGACAUUACCUCCCGGGGCAGGUAGAGAGAUGACAUGAGAAGGUGCGAGUGAAAGGCCCUGCACGGUGCUUGAGAUAAGUGCCCAUCUUACCUGAAGUUUCUCUGUCCCUACCUGACUCAGGAUCAUAGUGCCCUUUUUGACUGUCAUUAUUGUAUCACUGGCUAAAAUGAUCUUAUUUACAAUCCUCCUCCAUAAUUCUAAAAUUCCAGAUGCCCUGAAAACAGGUUUUUAAAAAAAAGGCAGUUGGCACUUACCAGUUUGUUUUUUGAUAUAAAUUUGCAGAUUUUGUAGCAAAACUGGACCUGAAACAAUGUGAAACUCUUUCUCUGUGAUGUAUCCCUCUCAGUGUAAGCAUCGAUGUGUGUGGCUACAGAACAGUUAAUGUAUUUGAUCAUGAAGAGUUGGCUCAGACUCUAUGGGGUAUAACAUUUUAUAUGGAAUCUGGACUUCAUGACCUUUCUCGGUGUGAAAAUUUUCUAUCACCGAAAAUAUCUGGUGGUGAAGGUUUCAGAUAAAGAAUUAUGGACCACUAGUUGUUUGUCUCCCCAACCUGAAUGUAAACCCCAAGAGGGCAGGGCCCUCACUUUUUUUGAUUAACACUAUAUCCAAGGCCUAGUAUGGCACAUAGUAGGCACUUAGUACACGUGAGUGGAGCCACUGGGUGGAUGUUCCCUUGCUGGCCACCAUGGCCUGGCUCUGGUGAGGGUGGCUCUGGCAGUUCAGCUGGGAUGGUAGGUGGCUCUCUACUGGGCCAUGUGAGGGGUCAGCCUGAGACCCCCGAAACCAGUUCUGUUUCAGAGCUUGGCGCUACGAGUGGUUAGGUUACUUGGGAUGGUCCAUACUGGACAAGGCCAUCCAGAGAGGCCUUUCCAGUCCAGUCCUCUGUGGUCUGUUAAACUCUAAGAACCUGGUGACAGAUUCAAUGCCUGUCAGCUAUUUGAACUGCAAGUCCCCACUCUGCUUCCUGACCCACUAGUGCAGCCCUCAUAUCUCUGGACUGAUAUUCUAAAAGGCUUUUUGAUGACAUUUGUGCUCCUGACUGCCUAUCUCCCAGCUUUCUCAGACAGCACUGGUCCUAUACUCCCUACAGAGCAUCUCACAUGUAACAGGGUCCUAGGAAGUAUUUUCUGAAUGACUGAAAUGAUGAAUGAAUAGAAGAAAGAGUGAAUUACAUCUUUCUUGACAUUUGACCUUCUUUCUUCUUCCUGGCUUGGUACAAACCCCGUCUUCACCUCUGAGUUGCUGACAUGCAUGGCUUGUUCCCUACUUUGUUUUGCAAUAUACUCAACCAUCAUUCUUGAUUUCUCAGGCUCUGGCUGCACGUGGAGAUCCUCCUUUUGAGCUGCAUCCUCUUCCUUAACUUCAUCUUCGUUAAGGAUUAUAUGAUCACUUCCUAUGGGUUAAGCACUGUGCUCAAGCUCAUCAUCUCAUUGAAUUGUUUUUAUCCCCUUUAUAAGGAGGUGGAGUAACUCAUCCGAAGUCACAGAGCUAGUAAGUGGCAGAGCUGAGAUUCAAACCCAGGCCUGACCAGUCUUCUGACAUCCUCUCUACAUAGUAUCUUAGAGCCUCAACGUUUCCCUUCUUUGAGUUGUCUCCACAGAUCACCAAGAUGUUCUAAACUCUUAGCUCAGCCUACUGAGUGAGCCCUGCAGCCUGACAUGAACCCUCUAAUGCCCCGUACUAACCUGUCAGGUCAUGAAAGACAUGAAUUACCAGCAUGGGACUCUACGGCUUUGGGGUUAAUGUGUCAGACUCUGGAAUCCCACAGCUGCAAUAGCACACACUUCAAAGAAUAUAAUCUCUAGGAGGCUAUGGUAGGUACUCAAUAACACGUGUUUGAAUAAUCAGUUUGAUUAAUUAGUCAAAUUACAUCAUAUCUAUAAAGGUCAUAGCUCAGUGACUGGCAGAAACCAAGCAUCUUCAAAGGAGAGCGACUAUUUUUAUUCACCACCAGGAGCCCAUUGCAAGUUGCAGCACUGAUUAAGUCAAGCUUUUUGACAGGUGCAAGGGACUCCCAUUUCAAAGUCAUGUUAGGAACCUAAAGUGAUUCUCUCCCACCAAAAUCAGAAUCUCUAUGACAUUAGUGGUCUAGAGUUUGUACCUAACUCCAGCUUCCCUGACACCAGUUUGCUCUCUUCUCGCACAGAGCCAGGCCUGGUCUACAGCUGCAGAACUGAGGAGCAGGGCUUCGGGAGGGUGUUUUGAAAAUUCUCAGCAAUGAAUUACUGACAUGCUGCCUAAGGGCUAAAAGCACAGUCAACUUGUUUGGUGCCUUUCUACCUCUAAAUUACCCAACUUGUACAGGAUCUUUAGCUUGGGAACAUUAACUCAGGUUUGCCAGCGCCUUGUCUUCCUGGUGUGUAAGCCACCUUCUUACCUGGUCUCCUCUCCCACCUCAACAAGCUUGCUGCUAUGGAAUGAAUUUCAUGCUGAGGUGUCCGCUCUGAGGGUUUAGGUCUUCAGGAAUAUAAUUCAGGGUGGCAAAAGUUGAGCUGGGGAAGUGUAGUGUGAGCAAUUUUUGAACCACGUUUGUACUUAACACUGUGUAGUUUUAUUUAUUUACUUUUUUCAUCAGAAAAGUCAUUUUGGAGUUUAUUGAUUAAAUCAGCCUGUGCAAGCAGAAGAACUGUAUAGCUCUGAGGGAUUAUGAAAAUUAGUAUCUCAGGCUUCAGGUGUGUAAUUGGAGGCCUGUUGAGAUGACAUUUACAUUUAUUUGUUUUUCUUCAGCAGAAGGACCCACAGGACUAUCUGAAACUCACUGAAUGCACUCCACUUUUUAGAAGGUGGGUAGGACUUAUUUGGGUGGGUAUGCUUAGAAGGGCAGGUGCAGAGUGGGUUGUUGUGUGAUCCAAGGAGAAUGAGUUAACCUGGGAACUAGGGAAGGUGACUGGUGACUGUGGCAAAAUAUUUUCCCAAGAUGGCUGUGUUGAUUUAUGUCCCAUUCCACAGGCCUGUGACAUUGACAUUCCUCCACCAAGAGAUGGGAGUCUCUGUUCCCUCCCCAUGAAAUGGGGUGGAUCUUUGUAACUGUCUUGACCAGUAGAAUAUGGUAGAAGUGAUACCAUGUGACUUCUGAGGUUAAAUUAUAGAAGGCAGUGCAGCCUAGCUCUUGGGACACAGCCACCAUGUUGUACAGAAGCCCAAGCCAUGGAGAGGCCAUGUGUGUAUUUCAGUUGAUGACUUCAGCUAGACCCUAAGCUGACAGCCAGCUUCAAUUGCCACACAUAUGAGUGAUUAAGCCCCCAAAUGAGUGUAGACCUCAGUCUUUGAGUUUCCUAGCUUAGGCCCCCAAACAUUUUGGAGUAGAGACAGCCACCCCUAUUGUGUCCUGACUGAAUUUCUAACCCCAGAAACCAUGAGAGGUAAUAAACAACUAUUGUUGUUUAAAGCCACAAAGUUUUGAGGUGAUUUAUUAUGUGGCAAUAGAUGACUAAUUUAAUAGAUGAUAACUUAAAAUAGAGGAAGCAGGGAAAGCAUCUUAUCCUUUGGAGACCCUUGACAGAUAUUGCAAGAAGGCUGGAGUUUCUGAAAUUACAAAGGAGUAGAGGUCAUUUCUGACAGUGCUGGCUUGGGAGAGGGCAGGAGAUACAAUGGAGCCAUAGCUUCCAGGAUGGGAUGUCUUUGUGGGAGAGGCAGGAAGAUGACUCCAUCUCUUUGAGCCUGACCCUUGAAGCAAGUGACUGUUCUGCAUGGUUAUGGCUGGAGGUAGCAUGCUCUCACACUUUUUGAUGCUGGAGGCUGGUAGCAUAGCCCAGCUCCUCAGGACUUCUAGAGGGUUCUAUGCCAGAACCUAUUUAUCUGCCAUUGUCUAUUUCUCUUGGACAUUGUAGGAGGUGAAACUCCUUAAAACCCAUGGGCAAUCAUAAAUGUCAGACUCAAGAUACAAGAUCUCUGAUCGCAAAACAAGGAAGGAGUUUAUGCUAGUCAAGGUUUUGGUGACAAGAAACAGAUAAUUACUCUAGAUGAAUUAAGCAAAAAAUGAGAUUAUUGAAAAGACUUGGGUCGUUCUCAAAAUGCCUGGGUAGAGAAUAAGGGCUGAACUACAUGACAGAACCAGUUCAGUAAGGGCACAGCCAUUGAACUCAGUUGUCAGUGAACUCCAGAUGGAGCCACUGGUACAACUACUAUUAUGGCCCUAGGAAUCAUAUACAAAUCAUGUAACUACUUUUCCAACAGGAUGUAACCUCCCUGUCUCUACUUCUUCUGGUCACUAGCUGUUGGAUUCCAAGUCCAGCAGCAGAUAUACCUGAUUGGUUGAGCCUGGGUAAUGUGCCACUUCCUAGCUGCAAGAGAGGCUAGGAAAUCAAGGCUCUAGAGUUUUAUCUUUGUACAGUGGAAGAAGAUUCCUUCCAGAUAGGAAGAGGCUUCAGGUACUGGGCAGACAAAAAUCACAAAUGUCCAUUACUGGGUUAUUCUAGACUUUUGCUCUUGAAGGUACAUCAGUGUGUCAAUGUGUAUUUGUAGGGGAGAGGAAGAGCAGACUUUGACUUUAAGAACUAUGGGGAAAUUGCUGGAAAGAUCAUUACCCCUAGAAAAUAUGGUGUGCUUGUUAUUUGCCUGUUUAUUCUCAGUGCCAUUCUUUCCCUUUAGUGUGCUCUACUCUGCAUCGCAGGGCCUGUAUCCCUGCAACUCGUGGAUCCCAGGCCCCCUUGGUAGUUUCAGUCAGUGGGAAGCACUGGUAGGAAGCUGGAAGGUGGGAAGAGUUAGAAAGAUGUGUUUUCUCUCUUCUUGUUUCUUGUGUGAUCUUUGGGAAUGACUCUCUGACAGUUCUGACUUCAGCCAUGAUAGCUCAGUACCAGCCGGGGAAAGCCCUCCUUGUUUGUCCUAGUGCUGACCUGGGGGCCCCUCCUUGGCAGCUCCAUCACCCUUUCCGGCACCUGUGGCAGUGCAGUCAUAAGUGCAUUCCUGGGUUUGGAUAACACAUUCUCAUGUCUGCCUAAGGCCCUGAAGAAGUAGCUGCUUUCUGUGGUUCCUAGUUUCUGUCUUACCUUCCUUUCCCUUUUUGUUCUUCUAGCAUUUCUAACACUUUGUAACUAGUUCCCUGGGUUAAAUCCCUUAUAUUUGAAAUACUAAUAUGUUUCCUGAUUUCUGACCCAACUCUGAUUGAUAAACUUUAUUUGGCACUAACUCUUUAAGAAGCUUUCCCUGAUAUUAUCCCUGCACUUUGCCCCUCUGAGCCCCACCAUGCCAAGUACAGUACCACACACUCACAGGUAGGUAUGUAACAGUAACGUUUGUUGCUGUUUACAGUGAUAGUCAUGAAAAUUAGAAGUACAGGUUUGCAGAAUGAUUCAGCUUUUCUUAGGCAUGAAAGUCGACCUCUAAGUCUGGAAUUCCAGUCUAGAUUCCAUUAAUAGCUAACUGUGCAACCUUGGGUGAGUCAGUUGCCAUCUCUGAGCUACAGUUUCCUCUCCCUAAGAAUGAAUGAGUUCAAUCAGAAGAGUGAUUUCCAAACUUUUUUUGGUUGGUAGGUUGUGCAUAAUACUGUGUGGAAGGCAAAUAUGGAAACUAGAAAUAGAUUCUCUGGUUGAAGUGAGGGUUAGGUAUUUCAGAGUUCUAUGAACUUCAGUUUUCCACUAUCCCCGAACCUUUGAUGCAACUCCACCACACCUCUACAGCUUAAUGGAACAAAAUUAUAACUCUGCACUAGAUCACCUAUUCUAUAUAUUUCAGCUUUACAUAUACAGGCACAACAAGUAGGUAAGCUGGAGACAACUAAAUAUGAUGCCCACGUACUGCUCCAGUGUUUUUCUGUACAUCCUGGCCUCACUUCCAUCAGUAGAGUUAGGAACUUGGGUACAACUCUUCCCUGAAACCACAUCACAUAAGACAUGCAUAUUUUGGCCAACUGGAUAACCAUACUAAAUUCAAUGUUAAUAGAUGUAAAUAGAAUUCCGAGCAGAUACUUGAAUAAGGAUAGUCCAAGUCUUUUCACCAUGAACUUGAUAAGGUCAUUUUAAUAGUUUUGAAUACUGAAACUUAGUUACCUUGUAAUCAACACCCCCCUUGAAAUUAACCAUAUCUGUAUUGGUUAACUUUUUCCAACUCUGUGUGUGGUCUGGCUAAUUGGCUCUACUGAGAUGAGGUGUGUUCACCAUUAAUACAGCUUGAUAUGCUAGGAAAUCAUCUUUGUAGCUAGCCACAGAAGAGCCAGUUGAUUAUUUGGGUAAAGUUCAAGUGCACCAAACUGUGCUUUCCUUAAAGAGGGAAGAAACAGAGGAGCAUAGGGCAAAAUCAAAGCAGAGAGUUUUUUGAACAAGGCUGGGAUCUUUCUGGAGUUAUUUUUAAGGAGAAAUAUUGACAUGAGAAUAAAUACAUGUUCUCUAUCCACUCAGGUUUUCAUUGUUAUCAUCAUCUUUGCAGCCAAUGUCAUUAUCUUCAAAGGCACUGAGCAUUUACUAUAUGCCAGGCAUAAUGCUUAUCACAUCUAAUUUCUACAACCACUGUAUCCUUAGUUUUUAUAGAAGAGGAAACUGAGAUUCAGGGAAGUUCCAUUACUCACUUUUUUGCAUUUAUCAACUAGCAAGUAACUGAACUGGGAGUCAAACCUACCCUUGCUUAAUUAUAAGACUAGGCUCAUAAGAUCCUACUACCUUCCCACUUGCAGAAACGCCCAAUGGAAGGGUGGGAUCCCCAUUCCAUUUUGUCUUUUUAGCAUGGUGCCAUUGCCAUCAUCAGUCUGCCCUCUCACUCACAGACAAUCCAAGGCCUGUGAGGUCUGUAUGGUGGAGCUCCCAGUGACUCAUCCUCAGCUUGAAGCAGCUUCAAGUGUUUGCCUUCUUUCCAUGUCUGGGACUGCUGGGCAGCGUUGAGCUGUCACCUGGCUGGGGAGACUGCUGAAUCAAGACUGAAACCAAUCAGCAUGGGAAACCUGCCAACCUCUACACCCCCAGCAGACAGCCUUAUUUCCUUGCUGAAGCACCUCAGGCCAAUAUUUCAGAUGUACAGCUACUAAGAAAGAGUCAAAGGAAAUUGAUCUCAAGAUCCCAGCAUCUGUCACUCACUACAGAACAUGCCUGGGAAUCCUUCCUCCACUCAAGAGGGCAAGCCUACGUCAAAUAGUGUUCUGGAUUGAAGGGUAGUAGAUGUGAGCAUUUCUAGCCCAUUGAGAUAACUCCUCUGUAUUUUAUGGUCACAGAUUAUGUGGCUAUCACUUUUUCUUUUUAAAGGAUCAAUGUGGAUGGUUUGGUGGAAAAAAGGUCCCAUUUUGGAGAAAUAAUGCAAAACCUAAUGACAUGCCAUUUGGGGAUUGGGAAAAUAUUCCUCAGUUAUAUGAAACAAUUUAUUUUAGCUCUCCCACCCCAAAGCAUAGUUUAGUUUCAUAUGUAUAAUGGAAUUGAUUUUCUUAUUUUUAAUUUAUUAUUGGUGUUUGUCCACAGUGGAGGCUGCUUGUUGAGCACUUCUCUGUCUGUUCCAAGUGGCCAGUUCGAUCAGCCAUCAGCAACCUCCUAGCUGCUGGUCAGUUGGCCUGAAUCAACCAGAAAGUGAUGUUUGGUUCUGAGGGUAGACAUGGCUUUAUUGCCUCAUAGUUUUGAUAACAUUUUUUUUCCUCCAAGGGUCAAGUCAGACCCUGCUCUCUGAUGUCAUAAACUCUGAGGCAAACGGCAGAAAUUCAGUACCAUGGGAGUGCUCUCAAUGGUCGACCAAGAAGUCUCCAGAAUCUGGCAUAGUGAAUUAUGCUUCAUUGAAGAAAUCUCUCCCAAGUUCCUAGAGGAGAAGGCAUGCUAAGAAAUUGUAUGUGUGAAUCAAAUUAAAGGAUCAUAACACCAGGCUGCCAGAUACUGAGAAAACAAGGAAACUGCUUGGGAGUCUGAUAAGAGUUUGGUCUUACGAUUCUUGGAGUGGUGGAGGCAUGGCAAGAACCAGGUGACUGGGAGAGGAGAGAAGGAGUGAGGACCACUUGUUAGAUAGAGAGCCUAUGACUGCUUGAACAAUGAUACCCAAGACUUGGCUCAUGGGGACCAGUAAAUAUGGUGGCUCAGAGAGCCUGGAACCAGCAGUUGCAUGAGAGAACUUCGGUGAUUACUAAGGAAGCAGUGUGAACUGGGCUCCUCCAUCCAUCUCUCUCUCCCAGGACCUUGCAUCUUGGGAAGAAUAGUUGACCUUCAUUCAUUCCAGCCAUGGUGGCUUUAUGUUGUUUGGAGAACUCUUCAACAUUCUUGCUCAGUCUCUCUUUCAAGUUAGUUAGAGUUAGGUUCUGUUGAUUGCAAUUAAAUUACCCUAACUGUUAAACAGUCCCUUUAUAAAUUAUGUAAUUGCAAAACAGACACCCAGGGAGUGUGUUUGGCCUUUUAGGGGGCUUGAGACCUGAAGCUACUGGUAGAUCAUUGUCCUGCCACUUGAACACUGCCAAGCAUAGCUGUAUGCUCAGUCUGUUGGGCAAUGGGAAUGUGUCAGUAGGGGAUGCUCAACACUUCACUGCAGGUGGAAGACACUGAUGUUUAGCUGUCAUGGUACUUAUCCCUGUCAAAAAUCAUUGCUCUCUUUCUUGUCUCAAUAUGACCUAUGCCAGCAGAAAGAAGGUUUGGGAGUCAGCAUAGCUGAGAACCUGCACAACUCUAGCUGUGUGACCAUGAGCAAGUCAUACCACCUCUCCACUGUCUGUUUCCUCAUGUACAAAAGAAUGAAAUUACACACAGCAACCCAACAUAUAAUAUUAUGAACAGCAGAAUUGCUCUGGUUGCCAGAAGGAUGCUGGUGGGCCAGGUUGUUUUGGCCUGUGGCUCUGAGGCUGCAUGGGACCGAGUGAGUCAAGAAGGAGGUGACAAGAGACCCGGCAACAAGCACUGAUUUAUGACCUGAGGCUCCCAUUCCAGAAGCUACAUCAUCAGUCCCUCUGGGAAAGAGGAUUAGCCAGAUGAACUGCCCUUCUAACUGCAGGAUUGAGUCCCAGGCCUGCUCCAAGGGUGAGGAGGUGGUGCUUGGAGCUGUGGCAGCCAUCUUGCUACCCUGAGGAGAAAGCCAAGAACAUUGAGGAGAAGCAGAUCCAGAGCUUUGACACUGUCAAGCCACGGAUCUAACCUUGCAAUGAAUGUCCAGUAAAAUGGGUGCCCUGAUCACUCUCAAUUACCUGUGGUCCACCAUUGGGAGCAAGGAGACGCUCCAGGCCUCUUUUGGUCGUUUGCUGGUCUGCACAACGGGUAGGAAAACCAACCAGAAGUCCAGUAGCUGUGUCCACACAAGUCAUUGCAUACCAAUAUCCUUCU